UCCCUGGUAGUCCACAGGCUAAGACUCUGAAUUCCCAAUGCAGGGGGCCUGGGUUUGAUCCCUGGUCGGGGAA
RNAcentral lists this transfer RNA (73 nucleotides) under Bos taurus (domestic cattle). It matches the Rfam family "tRNA". From Rfam's summary of the family: Transfer RNA (tRNA) molecules are approximately 80 nucleotides in length. Their secondary structure includes four short double-helical elements and three loops (D, anti-codon, and T loops). Lineage: Eukaryota; Metazoa; Chordata; Mammalia; Artiodactyla; Bovidae. RNAcentral also lists the same sequence under 1 other name. The record is from Rfam by way of RNAcentral.